UACAGAGGUGGCAAGCGUUGUUCGGAAUUACUGGGCGUAAAGGGCGCGUAGGCGGUCUUGUAAGUCUUGUGUGAAAUCCCUCGGCUUAACUGAGGAACUGCACGAGAUACUGCAAGGCUUGAGUGCGGCAGAGGAGACUGGAAUUCCCGGUGUAGCAGUGAAAUGCGUAGAUAUCGGGAGGAAUACCGAUGGCGAAGGCAGGUCUCUGGGCUGACACUGACGCUCAUGCACGAAAGCGUGGGGAGCAAACAGG
This 253-nucleotide ribosomal RNA is filed under the name uncultured bacterium. RNAcentral's name for it is "partial 16S ribosomal RNA". It matches the Rfam family "Bacterial small subunit ribosomal RNA", at positions 524 to 776 of the family's 1533-position model. The record is from RNAcentral.